UUUGUCCUUGGAACCCAGCCACCAUGUUCUGAGGAAGCCCAAGCCAAACAGAGGUGUCCUGGCCAACAGAGCCAGCUAAGGUCUCAGCAGAUGACCAACAUCAACUGCCAGACACGUAAAUGAACAAGCCUCAUGUGAAUCCAGCCCCUGACAUUGUGGGCCCAGAUAAGCCAUACUGCUGGUGACUUCAUUCAUCGUGACGAGUCCACCAGAGUCCUGAGGCUGGGCUGGAGUUUGUCCAGGAAGGUGUAGCGGUUUUGAUUCCACAAGGGGAAGGAAGAAUGGAGCUCUCCACUGGUGAAUGAAGCAGCACCUGUUUUGAUCCACAGACCUUCUUGCAUCCACCUGCUCCUUGGAUGAAUUGUUAGUGGAAUGAAGCUGGUCCCACUGAGCUCCACAGCCUCGCCUUCUGCUCCCUAAGCCACACUUUUCAGCAUACGAGCAACAGGCCUUACCUGAGCCCGAGUCGCUGACUGCUGAAAAUACGAUUGCAGCUUCAAAAUGCAGAACCAGCUGUUCUCCCUGUCAUUUGUGGCAUGACUUAAUUCGCUUCCUCCUCCUCCACUGCAAGCAAGGCUCCUAAAGGGCAGUCCUUAGAAAAAUUCUGAGGGUUCUGUUGGAAAGUAGGGAGGGGAGGCAGCUUGCCUUUUAUCUUGUUUAUCUAGAUCUAGAAGGCAGGUAACCGAUUUAAACACUUACCAGUGACUACCUUAUUUUUCCAAAGAGUGUUGAAGCCAACUGGGGAAACAGUGGGGAUCAGGUCAGAUGAUUUGAUGUAACUGUUGUAACAAAAAAUCUACUCAUCAUCAUCAGAGGGUGACAUAAGAGGCCUGCAGUUUAACUCGGGAUAAGGUGUGACCUGCACACUCUGACAGGGGAACCUGGACCACUGUAAUCAGCAGAUGCCAUGAGGGUCCCAGGCCCAAGGCUGCCAGGUAGUGAGGGCAGCCUGUGCAGUGGGGCUCUGGGUUCUCCACUGGGCUCAACCCCAGCUGCAAAAGGGCGAGGUGUGCCCUUCCAUCCCUGGGUGAGGGCCAGGAACCACCACUGCCCAAUUAACUAUACCUUUAGAGGUACAUCUUAAACACAGAUCACCUGUAAAGCAGUUAAUGUGACUUGAUCAUGGGGGUCCUAAUUAUCCAAUAAACAAGGCCAGCCACAAAACAACCUAACUUGAAGUUUCAAGUCGGCACUUGUCUAUUCCAUUCCUUUCUUGGCCUUUGUCAAACUUAACUCUGGAUAAAGAAACAGUAACAAAACAACAGCAUUCUGCCGCAAAGCCUUUACUUUUGCAGCCCUAUUUCAUCCUUAUCCAAUCGGAAGCUAUUUAUUUAUGCUUUUCUUUCCUGUCGUCUAGACAACAGGCUUCAGGAAAGCAGUUUCUCUCAGGUUGUGAUGCUUAGUAAACACCGACUUCGGCCUUCACACAUGGAGCAACCAAGGAAUCUGUGGAAUCGAACAUGGGCUUACCCUAAAGCUGUGGCUCAGCCUUGGCUGCACACUAGAAUCACCUGGAGAGCCUGUACACUCCCACUGUCCUGGCCACAGCCCAGACAAUCAGAUCAGCCUCCAGGGCGAGGUCCAGACAUCACCAGCCUUAAACCCCCCGAAGGUGACCCGGUAUACAGCCAGGAUGAAACUCACGGCCCUAAAGCUAAAUGGGUAAAGUACUGGGGUGGGGGGCCCCCCACUUGUAGAUGAGGACUUGUAGAAAAGCCAAGUCCUCACUCCUUUUGCAUCACUGACGGGCCUGCUUUACGGGUUAUCUGGAAAGUGAUGGUUGAAAGUGAGUAGAAGGUUGCUAUUGUUUUAAAAAACCAAAGCUCACAAAACCAAGCUCACAAAAGCACUUUUUAUUUGAGGCAAAGAGAAGUCUUGCCGAAAGGAUUAUAGUUCCAAGCAGUCAAAACUCAACUGUUAGUAGCACUAUUUUGACCUGGUAGAUUUUGCUUCUCUUUGGUCAGAAAAGAGUAUUCAGGUUGUACUUUCCCCAGCAGGGCAAAAAGAAGGGCAAAGCAAACUAGAAGAGACUCCUACUCUACUGACAGGGCUCUUCAGAUCCCACAUCAAGCUAGACACGCCCUCGCUGGCCACUCUACAGGUUGCUGUCCUGCUGCCGAGUGACACAGGCCAUACUACAUUUUCAAGAAAAAAAAAUGAGGCAGGAAACACAGGUAUAGGUCACUUAGGGAUGAGCAGGCAUCCACAGCUUCAAAACUCCUCAUGGAAGGGGUAAUCCUUGUGGGAGGCACAGCU
Molecule: long non-coding RNA, 2256 nt
Organism: Cercocebus atys (sooty mangabey)
Lineage: Eukaryota; Metazoa; Chordata; Mammalia; Primates; Cercopithecidae
Exons: 2
Source: RefSeq, a predicted model, not a curated record